GUUAACGAGGUUCAAAGCUGAGCAACUAAGAACAACAGGGAAUGACAAGAGAAGCUCCCUGUUGAUGUCCUGAUCGCAAAGGAAAUUAUGUCCUCCAGAGUCCAGACCCAUCUAUGAGAGCUAAAGACACCCUGGGACGUAACAAAUGAUGCCAUUAAUACCAUAAUUCGACGCAAUGAGAGUAUGGAAACCAGAGAGCUUCUUCAACCUUGCAUUCAAGGCAUUUACCCUGUUCUUAUCACUUCUGCUAGUUGUUGCUGUCUUUGAUUUCUGCAUGUCUUGAAUAAAGAUUUUGUUACUUUAGAGUUUAGAAUAGUUUUGGCCCAAUUUUCAGUGUUUGAAGUCAAUUACAACGAGUGCUUGCUUUGAUAGAAAUAUCAUACAGAGUGGUUCAAAGUGAGCUCUUUGUAAAUUGUUUUUGAGAAAUUGUACUAAAUAAUUUUAAUAUUUAUAAACUAUUCAUUCAAUUGUCAAUUGGUUGAAGAUAUAUAUUGAUAUUUAUUAUCCAAAUAUUAUUUAUUAUUUAAUAAAAAAUAAAAUAGUUAAUAUAUGUGUGUGUGUGUAUUUAAAUCUAGAUAUUUAUAAAUAUAUUUAUAUAAUAUAAAUAUAUAUUUCACAUUAAAUUUAACGAGUUUUAAAUUAGAUUUAACAACACAUAUAUCAUAUUUAUUAUCUAUUAAAUAAAAUAACUAUCUAAAAAUUACAUGUUUAUUCAUGUCAGGAAGAUAUUUGUCUAUUCGAAUUAGAUUUUCAUCCUAUCUCUUCAUUCCUCAAUUGCUUUGAUCACUAGAGGAAAGAUCUGCUCUCAUAUUUUAAUUGGAAUUAGCAACUGGUGAUCCAUCACUACCUGUCACAAUGAAGCAGAGCCCAAUAAAAAUCGCAACACCGACAAACAAAAGGACCCAGUCUAUGAUAUGACAAACCUAAGUAGAGCACUUGAUGUGCAGAAGACAAAGACAAAGCAUUCUUUGACUUUAACAAGUUAGCAGAGGCACUUAAUGUAGCCGAAGAAAAAAAAGGAAAGAAGACAGGGAAGGCAACAAGCAAGGAAGCAGCCAUUGAGGGUUUGUUUUUGGGUGUCACCAUGUUUUUUUCUUUAAAAAAUUAA
Populus trichocarpa (black cottonwood) is the source of this 1108-nucleotide long non-coding RNA. RefSeq lists it as uncharacterized. The record is from RefSeq and is a predicted model, not a curated record. Lineage: Eukaryota; Viridiplantae; Streptophyta; Magnoliopsida; Malpighiales; Salicaceae. The transcript has 3 exons.